GACGUAGGAUGCAAGCGUUGUCCGGAAUUAUUGGGCGUAAAGAGUUCGUAGGCGGUGAUCUAAGUCUGGUGUUAAAGACGGGAGCUCAACUCCCGCAUGGCAUUGGAAACUGGAUUGCUAGAGUGCAGUAGAGGUUACGGGAAUUCUCGGUGUAGCGGUGAAAUGCGUAGAUAUCGGGAGGAACACCAGUGGCGAAAGCGCGUAACUGGGCUGCAACUGACGCUGAGGAACGAAAGCCAGGGUAGCGAAAGGG
RNAcentral lists this ribosomal RNA (253 nucleotides) under uncultured bacterium. RNAcentral describes it as "partial 16S ribosomal RNA". It matches the Rfam family "Bacterial small subunit ribosomal RNA", at positions 524 to 776 of the family's 1533-position model. The record is from RNAcentral.